Molecule: ribosomal RNA, 428 nt
Filed under: uncultured bacterium
Lineage: Bacteria
Description: bacterial SSU rRNA
Rfam family: Bacterial small subunit ribosomal RNA
Source: RNAcentral
GUUCUUCCGAACUAGAGACCGGCGCACGGGUGCGUAACGCGUAUGCAAUCUACCUUUUACAGAGGGAUAGCCCACAGAAAUUUGGAUUAAUACCUCAUAGUAUAUAGCCCUGGCAUCAGGAUUAUAUUAAAGUCACAACGGGAAAAGAUGAGCAUGCGUCCCAUUAACUAGUUGGUGAGGAAACGGCUUACCAAGGCUACGAUGGGUAGGGGUCCUGAGAGGGAGAUCCCCCACACUGGUGCUGAGACACGGACCAGACUCCUACGGGAGGCAGCAGUGAGGAAUAUUGGACAAUGGGCGCAAGCCUGAUCCAGCCAUGCCGCGUGCAGGAUGACGGUCCUAUGGAUUGUAAACUGCUUUUAUACUAGAAGAAACACUCCUACGUGAAGGAGCUUGACGGUAUCGUAAGAAUAAGGAUCUGCUAACUC